Molecule: ribosomal RNA, 1636 nt
Filed under: Staphylococcus aureus
Lineage: Bacteria; Bacillati; Bacillota; Bacilli; Caryophanales; Staphylococcaceae
Description: partial 23S ribosomal RNA
Rfam family: Bacterial large subunit ribosomal RNA
Source: RNAcentral
AGAUUAAGUUAUUAAGGGCGCACGGUGGAUGCCUUGGCACUAGAAGCCGAUGAAGGACGUUACUAACGACGAUAUGCUUUGGGGAGCUGUAAGUAAGCUUUGAUCCAGAGAUUUCCGAAUGGGGAAACCCAACAUGAGUUAUGUCAUGUUAUCGAUAUGUGAAUACAUAGCAUAUCAGAAGGCACACCCGGAGAACUGAAACAUCUUAGUACCCGGAGGAAGAGAAAGAAAAUUCGAUUCCCUUAGUAGCGGCGAGCGAAACGGGAAGAGCCCAAACCAACAAGCUUGCUUGUUGGGGUUGUAGGACACUCUAUACGGAGUUACAAAGGACGACAUUAGACGAAUCAUCUGGAAAGAUGAAUCAAAGAAGGUAAUAAUCCUGUAGUCGAAAAUGUUGUCUCUCUUGAGUGGAUCCUGAGUACGACGGAGCACGUGAAAUUCCGUCGGAAUCUGGGAGGACCAUCUCCUAAGGCUAAAUACUCUCUAGUGACCGAUAGUGAACCAGUACCGUGAGGGAAAGGUGAAAAGCACCCCGGAAGGGGAGUGAAAUAGAACCUGAAACCGUGUGCUUACAAGUAGUCAGAGCCCGUUAAUGGGUGAUGGCGUGCCUUUUGUAGAAUGAACCGGCGAGUUACGAUUUGAUGCAAGGUUAAGCAGUAAAUGUGGAGCCGUAGCGAAAGCGAGUCUGAAUAGGGCGUUUAGUAUUUGGUCGUAGACCCGAAACCAGGUGAUCUACCCUUGGUCAGGUUGAAGUUCAGGUAACACUGAAUGGAGGACCGAACCGACUUACGUUGAAAAGUGAGCGGAUGAACUGAGGGUAGCGGAGAAAUUCCAAUCGAACCUGGAGAUAGCUGGUUCUCUCCGAAAUAGCUUUAGGGCUAGCCUCAAGUGAUGAUUAUUGGAGGUAGAGCACUGUUUGGACGAGGGGCCCCUCUCGGGUUACCGAAUUCAGACAAACUCCGAAUGCCAAUUAAUUUAACUUGGGAGUCAGAACAUGGGUGAUAAGGUCCGUGUUCGAAAGGGAAACAGCCCAGACCACCAGCUAAGGUCCCAAAAUAUAUGUUAAGUGGAAAAGGAUGUGGCGUUGCCCAGACAACUAGGAUGUUGGCUUAGAAGCAGCCAUCAUUUAAAGAGUGCGUAAUAGCUCACUAGUCGAGUGACACUGCGCCGAAAAUGUACCGGGGCUAAACAUAUUACCGAAGCUGUGGAUUGUCCUUUGGACAAUGGUAGGAGAGCGUUCUAAGGGCGUUGAAGCAUGAUCGUAAGGACAUGUGGAGCGCUUAGAAGUGAGAAUGCCGGUGUGAGUAGCGAAAGACGGGUGAGAAUCCCGUCCACCGAUUGACUAAGGUUUCCAGAGGAAGGCUCGUCCGCUCUGGGUUAGUCGGGUCCUAAGCUGAGGCCGACAGGCGUAGGCGAUGGAUAACAGGUUGAUAUUCCUGUACCACCUAUAAUCGUUUUAAUCGAUGGGGGGACGCAGUAGGAUAGGCGAAGCGUGCGAUUGGAUUGCACGUCUAAGCAGUAAGGCUGAGUAUUAGGCAAAUCCGGUACUCGUUAAGGCUGAGCUGUGAUGGGGAGAAGACAUUGUGUCUUCGAGUCGUUGAUUUCACACUGCCGAGAAAAGCCUCUAGAUAGAAAA